CUCUUUGUUCUCUGGUAAACCAUUAUCAUCUUGGUGAAUCUCAGCAGAUUGAUUUGUGGUAAAUUAGCUUGAGAAAGCUUAAGCAAUGGGAAAGUAGACAUUUUAACUUUGCAAGUGGACACACUGAGGCCCAGGGAGGAAAGAAAGCUCCCUGGCCACAUGCCACAUCCUAACCCUCCUGCACACACUUACCCCCACAGGCCUGAGAUCAACGACAUGACUGGUCAGGGCCUCCCAGGCCUGAUGCUGAAAACCCAUCCAUUCACCCAAGUGGUGAACACUGAAUAUCCCUGCCUCUCUUGAAAAUGCUACAUUUAAACAGGCAGAGAAAUGUAUUUCAUAGAAUAUGCAUACUUUUUCCUUUGUACAAAAGCAUUUUAAUCUCUCUUAGUUCAUAGCCAAGAUGAACAAGAGGAGGAACAAUCACCACACACAAAAAUCAGUCACCAGGCAUCAGAGCCUUCUGGGGUGAACAUCUAUCAUUACCAUCAUCACCACCACCAUCCUCACCGCCGUCAUUGCUGUUUUUUAUGAGCUCACAGGAGUCAUGUGGAGGCCCAGGGGAACCUCGCUUAAAUUCCAUGAUGAAGGCCAUGGGGAGAAACAUUUGACUGGGGCCCUUCUGCAUGAGGAAGUGGAGGUUGUUAGUGUCUCCAGGGCAGAUACCCUGCUAUGUUCUCUGACCCCCCUCCCCACUCCACCGCAGUUGCUGAAAUGGUGCUGGCUUGUCACAGUUGCUCAGUAAGUAUGCAUUUGCUCCUUUGUUGGAUUGGAAGAGAUGUGGUGGUUGGAAGGGAGGAUGGGCUGGGGGGCAGUGGGUGAGUGUGUGGUAGGGAAGGUGGGACAAGGAUGAUGGAAAUGGGUGGGUGGCUGGGUACACAGAUGUGUGAGUGAGUGGUAGAUGGAUAAAUUGGUGGGGCUUGACUGGCUGGCUGCGAGAGUACCUGGAUGGCCACGUGAAUGAAGGGUCAUUGGGGCAGGAGCCAAAAGUAUGGUGUGUGGGCUCCCUUUGCUCCCCAGACAAGUGAAAGUUUUCUGGAUUUUCAUCACCAUCUGUCAAGCUCUCUGACUCAGCUCUUUUCAACUAGAAGGUGACAGAGACCCCAAGAGCCCCUGGGAAGCAAAGAGGAGAUGAUAUCGGGGUUUUCAGGUGUAAUUGGUUUUAUUUGCAAGUCUCCCCAUCCCCAAAGCUAAGAAAUUCCAUGGGGAACUGAGUAACUCUGAGGAAAUCUCACCCUGACUGUCUGUCAAGGAGUAUUAUCUAAGAAUCCCAGGACUAAAAAGAGAGAGGCACUUGGCAAGCUCAUCUACUUCCUUCAGGCAUAACCAUGCCCACCCUUCCACAUUCCUAGUCACCCUCAGGCAGGGAGGCCUCACAUUCCCACCCUGAAGUCCAGAGUAAUGUCCAGCCCAGGGAUUCUCAUCUGAGGUGAUUUUGCCCCCCAGCGACAUUCAGCAAUGUCAGAAAGCAUUUUCAUUGUCACAGCUGGGGGAUGCUACUACUGGCACCCAGCAGGUAUUGGCUAAGUUUGCUGCUAAACAUCCUACAAUCCAGGACAGACUCACACACGGAAUUAUCUGGUCAAAGUGUCAGUGGUGCCGAGGUGGAGAAACCCUGGUUUAAAUCAAAUCCCUACAGCUUUAGUAGAAAUUUAAUAGACAUAUAAUGGGAACUACAUUUAAAAUGUUAAAAUUUUGAGUGGUCACAUUAAAAAAGUAAAAAGUAAAAUUAUGUUAAUACGAUAGCUCAUUUACCCCAAUAUAUCAAAAAUAUUACCAUUUCACCAUGUAAUUAGUAUACACAAUUCCUAAUGAGAGUUUUAACUGGUUUUUAAAAUCCAGUGUGUAUUUCACACAGUAUGUCUCUGUUCAGACCAGCUGCAUUUCAAGCACUUGACAGCCUCUUGUGUUCAAUGCAGGCAGGAGGGUAUGUGGUCUCUUCUUUCAGCCCCACAGGAAUAUGCAAUGGGGAGGGUCUUAUGUUUCUCCGUGCUGUGCUGACCCUCUCCUCCCCUCCCUGAGCCUUUCCUAGUAGUGGUCUUUGGAAGAUAAGGAGGAGCAGAAGCUCAGAUGGUGCCACUGCAGCCAGAGCUAAACCACAGAGGACGAGGCUCCCAGGAUCAGCCAGAUGGAGAACGUCGGGCCUCUGAGAAGUGCUCAGGUCAAGGCAGGGGCCAGGGUACCAUUGUGGUAUCCUGGGUGGUGGGGAUGAAUUAGCUUCUCCAGAUUUCGUGCAGCGUGUUCAGCCGGCCAAGCACUGAAGCCCAGAGAAUGAAGCUGAAGGUUGUGAAGAUAAAUUUCAAAUUCCUCACCUUCUCCAGACCCCUCAGACCUGCUAGGUUCCACCCUCUUCACAACAAUGAUUGCCAGUAUUGAGAUCAUCCAUGAGCCAAAACUGUGUGGGACAUUUUAUGGCCAUAGCUCACUUAGUUCUCACAAUAUUCCUGAGAGGGAGGUAUUGUGAACCCAUUUUACAGAAAGGGAAACUGGGCUGAAGGAUACUGAGGGAAUCAUAUGCCUACAGAGCAGCAGGACCAGAGUUUGUAUCCAGAUCUGUCCAGCUCUGGGGCUCACCUCUUCCUGUUAGCCAGCCUGCCUCCCUCUAAUCCUGACCCCCAUAAUUCACUUCUGAGGGGAGGAACAUUAGAACUGGUUUUGCCAUCUAGACUUUGAGAUUAUGAGGAAAGGAAGAGAAGGGCCCAGAAUUUACUGAAUGCCACUCACAUGCCAGGACUGUGCUGGGCACUCUCAUGAGAUGAGUCUCCUUUUACUUCCUUGCAAGCCUUGUUUGCAGAUUUGAAAACCGAGGCUUUGAAAGUGAGUUAACCUGCCUGAAAUCACAUGGAGAAGAGGUAGUUGAGGAAGGAAAAGAAUCUCCUUUCUCUGGAGGCCGAGUGCUGUGGGUUUUUGACAGUCUUCUCAUGCUGUUGUUUCCCUGGGUGCCCCAGAGGAUGGAGAACAGGGCAUGUGCCCUAGGCCGCAGCAAUACCUGUGGCUAUCACUUGGUCUCAACUGUACCCAUGUGACUGACAGGAAAGUGGAAUGGUGCAUCAGAAGCCCUCGCUUUCACUCCAAGCUCUCCUGUCAAUUAGCUGUGAGACCUUUGACAAAUCCCUGAAUACUUCUAGUUUUGAUCUAAGUUCUAAGGAACAGAAGCUGUGCUUAUUUCUUUUGACCCUCAAUGCCUAGCACAGGGUCUGGCACAUAUAAUAUAGUUGCUUAAUUUUUUUUGACUAUGUCUAAACAUGGAAUAGUUGGACCUUACUAGGGGUUUAUUAACUUUUUAAAAAAGCAUGGCUUGCUUUGUUCAAUGACCCCUUGGAAGCCUAAUAUGUAGAGUAGGUAAAGAUAAUCCUUAUUUAAGUGGUGGUGGGGAGGAGGGCAGGGCCUGACAUUCUUGUAUUCCCCAUGGUGGUCCUGAAGGCAUCUCCAUUGGUUAGGUGCCCCCAAGGUCCCUUCCAUUUCUGAUAUCCUGUGAUUAUAUUUCCAACUCCACCUCCCUACUCAGACUCUCAAGCAUGGAAGAAGUAGAGGUUUCCAAGCUGCUGCCCCAGCCUCCAAAGAUGAGGAGGAGGACAUCCAAGCUAUCAUAAUCUGUCAGAAGGGGCAGAGGUAGCAGGUGGUGAAGGCUGCAUGGGCACCCAUCUGGGAGAGGCAGAAGGCAGAGGAGCAAAGGGGAAGCUGGGACCCUAGCAGGACGUGCAGCAUCUCCUAGUCCCCAAGAAGGAACUGGAGACCCCACCUCACCAGAGACAAAGCCAGGAGCAGCGGGGUCCCUGGGCCCUGGAGGAGGAGAGCUUGGUGAGCAGGGAGCCAUGAGGGAGGAAAAAAAACAGAGAAGUCCCCAGUCUUCUCAGAGAAAUACUCCAUGCUAGGGAAGACAGCACUGGAUGAGAGACUGGUCUCAGAAAAAACCUCCAUCGCCAAGAAGGUGCUAGCCUUGGAGAAAACAUCUCUAUCUGAGAAGACAGUGGUAUCAGAGAAAAGACAGCUCAGAGAAGAAGCUGGUUCCAGUAAAGACAGGUGUCUCAGAGAAGACACUGGCCCCAGGAAAGGCAUCAGUGUAGGAGAAGAUAGUGGUGAUAAAGCAAAAGUCCAUCUCAGAGAGGUCGGUUCUAGAAAAGACAAGUGUCUCAGAAAACACACCAGGCUCAGAAAGGAGACUGGUGUCUGAGAAAGCAUCGAUCUUCGAGAGGUCACCAGUCCUAAAGAAGAGCCUGACAAGACAUCAAGCUGGCUCCAAAGAAGACUGCAGCCUCAGAGCAGCCCAGGCCCAGGAGCAGCCGGCCUCUCGGAGGAGGCCAAGCCACCACUGAGAGGCAGACAGAAAGGGCCCUCCCUUGGAAGAAACUGCCGUCCUCUGCAGAGCAGGGCAUUUUGGGCCCUCUGACUGUAGUCUCCUGCCUCUCACUAGUCACACUCCUGGUUGGCAGUGUCCUCUCCCUCCUACCCUUCCACCCUCCACCCUGGAGGGCUCCUUCCUAUUUCCACUCAGGUGGUCUCUGGCUCCCUGUCUGUCUCUCACCCACCCCACUAAGGCAGGUUGGUGUUGGCAGUCUCUUCCCCACUGCCUCCUUCCAGCCAUGGUCAGAGCAGGGACUGAGAUGGGGCAGGCUGCUAGACUUCAAGGGGCACCAGCCAUGGGGCAGGGAGACCUGGUACCCCCUACCACAUCCUCAUCCAGGCCUGGACUCCAGGGCUCCAACAGACUCUUGGGAAGCCUCAGAUCAUUCCGGAAGCUCCCCUAGGAAGCUCUGCCUGGUGACCUGGCCCCAAGGGAAUGCUUAUCCACCAACCACUCUUACAGAAGGUGAAGGAGGCAGGAGAGAGAGGCAGAGGACUGUCUCACUUUCCCCUUCUCCUGCAGCUCCUGGGAUGAAACAUGGGGUCUGUGGCUGCCUGAGCCCACUGGGCUCUAGACCUCUGUGUGAUGCUCCCCCUGCCCUGUCUGGGUAAAAAACCCCAGCAAGGAGGAAGAGGCAGACCCCCUCAUCCACUCGAUGCGCCUGCAGUAGCUCCCUCAAAUACUCCAGGCCAGGACCACCUCCUUUCAGUGCCAGCAUGAGGCUCCCGGCCAGCACAGUGAAGUUGGGAGAGACACUGGCAGGAUACACACAGCUAUGCAGGCAAAAGAGGAAUCAAAAAGGAUCAAGUUGCCAGCUGCCAUCUGCCUUUUGCCUUUCCCUUCCACUUCCCCCAGCCUGUCACCCUCCUCUCCUGGUGGGCUAAAAGUGGCACGUUUAGGAAGAUCACAGCUGAGUGUUUGGGACAAGGACUGAGGGGUGGGGUUGGUGUUCCUGAAGACAAACAUCAUGUUCUCAAUUAUUCGUGGGAGCUAAUAAUUAAAACGAUUGAACUCAUGAAGGUAGAGAGUAGAAAGAUGGUUACCAGAGGCUGGAAGGGGUAGUGGAGUGGGAGGAGAUGUGGGGAGGGUUAAUUGGUACAAAAACAUAGAAAAAAACCUAGUAUUUGCUAGCACAACAGGGUGACUAGGGUC
RNAcentral lists this long non-coding RNA (5497 nucleotides) under Homo sapiens (human). RNAcentral describes it as "HSALNT0397068". The record is from RNAcentral. Lineage: Eukaryota; Metazoa; Chordata; Mammalia; Primates; Hominidae.